Molecule: ribosomal RNA, 432 nt
Filed under: uncultured bacterium
Lineage: Bacteria
Description: partial 16S ribosomal RNA
Rfam family: Bacterial small subunit ribosomal RNA
Source: RNAcentral
ACGAACGCUGGCGGCAUGCCUAAUACAUGCCCGUCGAACGAGAUCUUCGGAUCUAGUGGCGCACGGGUGCGUAACGCGUGGGAAUCUGCCCUUGGGUUCGGAAUAACUUCUGGAAACGGAAGCUAAUACCGGAUGAUGACGUAAGUCCAAAGAUUUAUCGCCCAAGGAUGAGCCCGCGUAGGAUUAGGUAGUUGGUGAGGUAAAGGCUCACCAAGCCGACGAUCCUUAGCUGGUCUGAGAGGAUGAUCAGCCACACUGGGACUGAGACACGGCCCAGACUCCUACGGGAGGCAGCAGUAGGGAAUAUUGGACAAUGGGCGAAAGCCUGAUCCAGCAAUGCCGCGUGAGUGAUGAAGGCCUUAGGGUUGUAAAGCUCUUUUACCCGGGAUGAUAAUGACAGUACCGGGAGAAUAAGCUCCGGCUAACUCCGUG